RNAcentral lists this ribosomal RNA (447 nucleotides) under uncultured bacterium. RNAcentral's name for it is "bacterial SSU rRNA". It matches the Rfam family "Bacterial small subunit ribosomal RNA", at positions 29 to 520 of the family's 1533-position model. The record is from RNAcentral.
AACGAACGCUGGCGGCAUGCCUAACACAUGCAAGUCGAACGAGACCUUCGGGUCUAGUGGCGCACGGGUGCGUAACGCGUGGGAAUCUGCCCUUGGGUUCGGAAUAACAGUUAGAAAUGACUGCUAAUACCGGAUAAUGUCUUCGGACCAAAGAUUUAUCGCCCAGGGAUGAGCCCGCGUAGGAUUAGCUAGUUGGUGAGGUAAAAGGCUCACCCAAGGCGACGAUCCUUAGCUGGUCUGAGAGGAUGAUCAGCCACACUGGGACUGAGACACGGCCCAGACUCCUACGGGAGGCAGCAGUGGGGAAUAUUGGACAAUGGGCGAAAGCCUGAUCCAGCAAUGCCGCGUGAGUGAUGAAGGCCUUAGGGUUGUAAAGCUCUUUACCCGGGAUGAUAAUGACAGUACCGGGAGAAUAAGCCCCGGCUAACUCCGUGCCAGCAGCCGCGG